AGAGUUUGAUCCUGGCUCAGGAUGAACGCUGGCGGCGUGCCUAAUACAUGCAAGUCGAGCGAAUGGAUUAAGAGCUUGCUCUUAUGAAGUUAGCGGCGGACGGGUGAGUAACACGUCGGUAACCUGCCGAUAAGACUGGGAUAACUCCGGGAAACCGGGGCUAAUACCGGAUAAUAUUUUGAACUGCAUGGUUCGAAAUUGAAAGGCGGCUUCGGCUGUCACUUAUGGAUGGACCCGCGUCGCAUUAGCUAGUUGGUGAGGUAACGGCUCACCAAGGCAACGACGCGUAGCCGACCUGAGAGGGUGAUCGGCCACACUCGGACUGAGACACGGCCCAGACUCCUACGGGAGGCAGCAGUAGGGAAUCUUCCGCAAUGGACGAAAGUCUGACGCAGCAACGCCGCGUGAGUGAUGAACGCUUUCGGGUCGUAAAACUCUGUUGUUAGGGAAGAACAAGUGCUAGUUGAAUAAGCUGGCACCUUGACCGUACCUAACCAGAAAGCCACGGCUAACUACGUGCCAGCGGCCGCGGUAAUACGUAGGUGGCAAGCGUUAUCCGGAAUUAUUGGGCGUAAAGCGCGCGCAGGUGGUUUCUUAAGUCUGAUGUGAAAGCCCACAGCUCAACCGUGGAGGGUCAUUGGAAACUGGGAGACUUGAGUGCAGAAGAGGAAAGUGGAAUUCCAUGUGUAGCGGUGAAAUGCGUAGAGAUAUGGAGGAACACCAGUCGCGAAGGCGACUUUCUGGUCUGUAACUGACACUGAGGCGCGAAAGCGUGGGGAGCAAACAGGAUUAGAUACCCUGGUAGUCCACGCCGUAAACGAUGAGUGCUAAGUGUUAGAGGGUUUCCGCCCUUUAGUGCUGAAGUUAACGCAUUAAGCACUCCGCCUGGGGAGUACGGCCGCAAGGCUGAAACUCCAAGGAAUUGACGGGGGCCCGCACAAGCGGUGGAGCAUGUGGUUUAAUUCGAAGCAACGCGAAGAACCUUACCAGGUCUUGACAUCCUCUGCAAACCCUAGAGAUAGGGCUUCUACUUCGGGAGCAGAGUGACAGGUGGUGCAUGGUUGUCGUCAGCUCGUGUCGUGAGAUGUUGGGUUAAGUCCCGCAACGAGCGCAACCCUUGAUCGUAGUUGCCAUCAUUCAGUUGGGCACUCUAAGGUGACUGCCGGUGACAAACCGGAGGAAGGUGGGGAUGACGUCAAAUCAUCAUGCCCCUUAUGACCUGCGCUACACACGUGCUACAAUGGACGGUACGAAGAGCUGCAAGACCGCGAGGUGGAGCUGAUCUCAUCAAACCGUUCUCAGUUCGGAUUGUAGGCUGCGACUCGACUACAUGAAGCUGGAAUCGCUAGUAAUCGCGGAUCAGCAUGCCGCGGUGAAUACGUUGCCGGGCCUUGUACACACCGCCCGUCACACCACGAGAGUUUGUAACACCCGAAGUCGGUGGGGUCACCUUUUUGGAGCCAGCCGCCUAAGGUGGGACAGAUGAUUGGGGUGAAGUCGUAACAAGGUAACCAA
RNAcentral lists this ribosomal RNA (1515 nucleotides) under Bacillus cereus. RNAcentral describes it as "bacterial SSU rRNA". It matches the Rfam family "Bacterial small subunit ribosomal RNA". The record is from RNAcentral. Lineage: Bacteria; Bacillati; Bacillota; Bacilli; Caryophanales; Bacillaceae.